GCGGGGCGCCGCUGCUGGGGCGGCGCUGAGGGGUCCGGGUGGGUGCUGGACGCGCCCGCGUUCGGGGCUGCCCCGCGGGGCGACAUCCAGUGAGCCACGGGAUGCAUCCAGUGCCUCAGGUGCUCCUUGCCCCACUGCCCCCCUGCCCCCCUGCUGGUGCAGCCCCGGCCGAGGGUGCCCCGAGCCGGCUCUCCGCCGGCCGUGCCGGCGCCGCCGCUGCCGCCCCCUGCCGAGUGCGGCGCCGCUGUGCUGGAGGGGUCCCGAGGGAACAGACCCAACCCGGGGCUGAGACCCAAAACCCCAUUCCCCUCUCCAGCUGACAGAUGUAGAGGAGUCUUACACCACCUGAGGCACAGAAACCUUGCAUCAGUCAAAAGCUUCCCUACCCCUGCACUCUUCCAUGCAUGUCCCAAGAAUGAGCUGAGGCUGCCGUUGUGUCCUUUCCUCUUCUCCCUGCACUGAUGCUGUGUUGAGGAAGAGAAAUGUAUAAUGUGUGUGAAGAUAGUGUGUCUUCAGGAAAUGUGGUGAGAGCUUACUAUGGAAAGGAACUUCUCGGUGACUGUGCUCCGGGAGAAGAUGAACCCCCACCCCAGUGUAGAGCCAAUGCAGAGCUGCUGCAGCUCUUGCUUCCCAGCAUAGCUGGGCCAUGGCAUGGUUCUGCACAACCCUUUGUCUGGGUUUUGGAUGGGUCAAGAAACAGCUCUGUGACCCACUUCUUCCUGGACAGCCAAAUACAUCCUACUGCACCAGAGAGAGGAGCUUCCCUGCAGGAGGUAGAGGCUAUGGAUGUCCUGAGGUGCCCUCCUGGGAUAUCUGAAAUUGCUUUUCCUGCUCACCUGUGGAAAGACCCUCAAAUCCAAGGGCAGGUAGAAAAGACCUUAUUAAAGAGUGCAAGGCCCCAGACUUCUCCCUGCUUGGAUGGAGCAGAAAUGCAGUGA
This 938-nucleotide long non-coding RNA is filed under the name Taeniopygia guttata (zebra finch). RNAcentral's name for it is "lncRNA (ENSTGUG00000022292.1)". Lineage: Eukaryota; Metazoa; Chordata; Aves; Passeriformes; Estrildidae. The record is from RNAcentral.